UACAAAGGCAAAACGAGAUGAAUUCUUUUCUCAGAAUUUAAUAUUGCUAUUUAAAAAGCUUUGUGUAAAACUUUCUGUGGUGCAUCUUUCCUCUGGUGUUGAAUAAAAACAAGGACUAGAGGAAUGGUCAUAAAUUUAAGUGGGAUUAUAUCUACAUGGUGACCACCAUGUGACCACAAAUUGCCUUUGAAUCAUUUUCAGUCUCUUUUUUAAUAAAUUAUUUGUGGUAUUUCUAGUACUGAAGGAGUUUUGAUAUUUUAUUCUGAAUUAUUCUCCAUUUAAGAGUUUAUUCUCACUGCUUAUCAGAUAUUUUCUGCCCUUUGUAGCUAAACCCAAAGUGAACGUGAAGCCAUCUGUGGUUAAAGUUGUGUCAUCCCCCAAAUUGGCCCCAAAACGUAAGGCAGUGGAGAUGCACCCUGCUGUCAUUGCCGCUGUGAAGCCACUCAGCUCCAGCAGUGUCCUACAGGAACCCCCAGCCAAAAAGGCAGCUGUGGCUGUUGUCCCGCUUGUCUCUGAGGACAAAUCAGUCACUGUGCCUGAAGCAGAAAAUCCUAGAGAC
RNAcentral lists this small RNA (559 nucleotides) under Pongo abelii (Sumatran orangutan). RNAcentral's name for it is "processed transcript". The record is from RNAcentral. Lineage: Eukaryota; Metazoa; Chordata; Mammalia; Primates; Hominidae.